RNAcentral lists this ribosomal RNA (497 nucleotides) under uncultured bacterium. RNAcentral's name for it is "partial 16S ribosomal RNA". It matches the Rfam family "Bacterial small subunit ribosomal RNA", at positions 28 to 507 of the family's 1533-position model. The record is from RNAcentral.
GAUGAACGCUGGCGGCGUGCCUAAUACAUGCAAGUCGAGCGAACAGACGAGGAGCUUGCUCCUCUGACGUUAGCGGCGGACGGGUGAGUAACACGUGGAUAACCUACUUAUAAGACUGGGAUAACUUCGGGAAACCGGAGCUAAUACCGGACAAUAGAUUGAACCGCAUGUUUCAAUAGUGAAAGACGGUUUUCCUUUCACUUAUAGAUGGAUCCGCGCCGCAUUAGCUAGUUGGUAAGGUAACGGCUUACCAAGGCAACGAUGCGUAGCCGACCUGAGAGGGUGAUCGGCCACACUGGAACUGAGACACGGUCCAGACUCCUACGGGAGGCAGCAGUGGGGAAUCUUCCGCAAUGGGCGAAAGCUUGACGGAGCAACGCCGCGUGAGUGAUGAAGGUCUUCGGAUCGUAAAACUCUGUUAUUAGGGAAGAACAAAUGUGUAAGUAACUAUGCACGUCUUGACGGUACCUAAUCAGAAAGCCACGGCUAACUACGUG